UACAGAGGUCUCAAGCGUUGUUCGGAUUCAUUGGGCGUAAAGGGUGCGUAGGUGGCGCCGUAAGUCAGGUGUGAAAUCUCGGGGCUCAACCCCGAAACUGCACUUGAUACUGCGGUGCUCGAGUACUGGAGAGGAGAUUGGAAUUUACGGUGUAGCAGUGAAAUGCGUAGAUAUCGUAAGGAAGACCAGUGGCGAAGGCGAAUCUCUGGACAGUUACUGACACUGAGGCACGAAGGCCAGGGGAGCAAACAGG
This 253-nucleotide ribosomal RNA is filed under the name uncultured bacterium. RNAcentral's name for it is "partial 16S ribosomal RNA". It matches the Rfam family "Bacterial small subunit ribosomal RNA", at positions 524 to 776 of the family's 1533-position model. The record is from RNAcentral.